This 253-nucleotide ribosomal RNA is filed under the name uncultured bacterium. RNAcentral describes it as "partial 16S ribosomal RNA". It matches the Rfam family "Bacterial small subunit ribosomal RNA", at positions 524 to 776 of the family's 1533-position model. The record is from RNAcentral.
UACGUAGGGUGCGAGCGUUGUCCGGAAUUAUUGGGCGUAAAGGGCUCGUAGGCGGUUUGUCGCGUCGGGAGUGAAAACACGGGGCUUAACCCCGUGCCUGCUUCCGAUACGGGCAGACUAGAGGUAUGCAGGGGAGAACGGAAUUCCUGGUGUAGCGGUGAAAUGCGCAGAUAUCAGGAGGAACACCGGUGGCGAAGGCGGUUCUCUGGGCCGUAACUGACGCUGAGGAGCGAAAGCGUGGGGAGCGAACAGG